This 3590-nucleotide long non-coding RNA is filed under the name Androctonus crassicauda. The record is from RNAcentral. Lineage: Eukaryota; Metazoa; Arthropoda; Arachnida; Scorpiones; Buthidae.
CACGGAACUCCGACCUCCCAAAACAGGGGUUUCUGUCCAUUUUGGGAGCGGUUCCCCCCUCCGCGGCCCCCGACUGUUCCCUCGGGGCAGAAACGGGAACCCGAAACCGGCGUUCGCGUUCGUAUUGUGCAUUGCCUAUUUUCCUUUCCGGCCCCUCCUGGGACAGCACGAUGCAUGGCCGAGACUGACCGUCGCCCCCUCACUGUUCCCUGGCUGGCGUGCCUGCCCCCUAUAACGGCCCCCCAAUGCGCUGACACCGGCGAUUGCCCAAUUUGUCAGCUUCUGGCUUUGCUGUGUCCAGCUUUCUCCCCUUCGGAUUUCCCUCCGAGUGGAUCGCUCGCCGUCGGGCCUUUUUACUCUCCGUAGCGACACAUAACGCGAAUGCGUCUACAAUAAACGAAAAAACAGGUUCGACAAUCGGGAUUAGGUUUAUUGCGUUUGCAACUGACGGCAUAUCUAACUGAUAAUGCAACUGAUCAUAACUGAUAUACAACUGAUCGUAACUGAUAUGUAACUGAUCAUAACUGAUGAUGCAACUGAUGACAUUUGCAACUGAUGACUUUACAGCGCUGAGCAUUCUGUUGAGGCUGACGAUUACCGGCCGCUUGUUCUGUUGUCCUGUUACGAAAACAAUUCGGAUUACAACUGCUGUCACCACAGGAUCCUUUGCCGGCCCUCGGCCGGCGAUAUUAGCUGCCGCACACACUUACCAGUCUUUACUCCUGGGGGGCAGAGCCUUGCCCCAGCUCGAUUACCGGUUCCCCCUCGGCGCCAUGCAUUGCCGAUAGACCGAUUUCGAGCAUCGGCAACCCUGCUCUUCCGGGCCCGGGAUACACCCUGCCGGCGUCCAGUAGCAAUCGGGCGAGCCUCUUCCCGUCGGUUGCUAGGGGGGCCAGUACACGUUCACGAUAGGUGAAUUCGCACGUGUACUGGCGCAAUCUGUCAUCAUUGCGAGUCGACUUGAUGGUCUCCUGUUGGGAAACAUGUUUGUUAUAACCUGAGCCGGCACCUGACUAUAAAGCAAAAGAAGAAAACAGAGUGAGGAACACAUACCUUCAGCCGCCGAUUCCUAACCUCAAUGUUUUGUGUAUGGACGUCGGGCUCCUCGACGUCAACGAACCUGGAGGGAGAAAAAACAGGGAGUCGGAACAGUGUGCGGGUAGUCGGCUUUUUUUCAGGGCAUGCCGACAGGGGUAGCCGCUGCCAUGCAGCGGCCAUCACCGGCCGGACGACUUAGCACGCCUUCAGGACGCAUCUUACCUGCCUGGUCCACGGCGGCUAUGAUUUAUCGUUUUGUGCGCAGCAUAGCCCAAGCUCUCGCAACCCGUGUAUUGCGGAGCACAGUCCGGUAUUAUUGUGGAUCCAUGUGCGACAAAUCGGUGAAUAUAACUCCACAAUACGGCCCUUGUUUUGUUGGGAACCUGCAAGAAUGAAAGAACACUUUAGUCGGAACCCAUGCAGAGCGUAUCGCGGAGUGCCACGCAUAAUAUGUUGAUGGCGGCCUCCUGCUGGCAGGGGCUAAAGAACCCCUAUCGAAGGCGUACCUGCCAAUACAGACCCUCUUUCGUUUCUCGGCAGUAAAUGCCGAAGAGGGUUAUUGUGUGCGCGGACACCAGACGUCCCCUAUUAAAUUUUCGCCUACGGGCAAAAGUUUCGUCGACCUGCGAACAAAGCACGGAAAUAUUAAUGUUGGCCGUGGGAAAUCUGCCGACAAAGGCGCCGGACGUAUCGGAAAAAACUGAGAACUGAACAUUCGCUUACCUCGACAGUUUUCCCGGGGCCGCCGAUUUCCACUUGAAGAUGCGAAACUAUAACUUCGGCGACCUCCCGGAAAAAACUGAAAAAAUCCUGCGCCGUUCUACUGGACACCACGCAUUCGGUGUACGCCUUAGUGACGGGCAGUUGUAUGAUCCAUGCGUACGCAAGGCGCAGUACCUGAAAGGAAAAAAACGUCUGGUAUUAGGACGUUCAGCGCAAGAAUAAACGGGUCGUUAAACGUAUAUGCGCUAAUCUUACCUUGAGCACGUUGAUGUUAAUGUUAUCGAAAGUGUUUUUCAGAGGGGACAAGUACCCCCUGCAUUUCUUCGCCGUCUUCUGUUUUUUACUUUUUUCUGACGAGGACGGCUUCUCCCCGCCCAGGCACCUAUAUACAAACCCCGCCUGAUUAUCCCGCGAUGCUUGCGGUCUCAUGGCUCCUGUAAAUGGCGCGAAUACGAGCGUUAGUACCGGCAGCAAGGGGGGGCAGAACGUAAAUGCUGAGAUUGCGCGAGGCAACGCGCACACAUGCGAUGCCGCCCCUGUAGCGGGGGGAGGCCUGGGAACCCUGGAACCAGCGGCCGACGUGCUUACCGAAUACAUUUUCCGCUGCUUCCGGCGGCCCGCGAUGUGCCCCGCCGGCGGAAACAAGUGGAAUCUUUGUGUCGGGCCAGGCGCGGCCACGGCCCUGUCAGCAGGUCCCAGACCGUGGAGAUAGCAUUGCGUGCACGUGGCCUGCAGCAAAAUCAGCAGCCACGGGAGUCCCGAGGACGCAUCAGGCGGACCUACCGCUGCACUUCGGGCACGGAGGAGGCGGCGUGCUCUCCCUGUCCGGGAUAAGGCCGAGGUGGGUGCACACGCGAACAGCUUCUUCAUUCGUCGGCAAAAUUUCGGCAAAUGUAAAAGACGUUAUCCGGUUUAGGGGAGUAUCUACCUCUCCCGGAAAAUCUGUUUGUGGUGCAGGCUCGACGCCUGCCGAUGACGUUGAGGGCAAUUCCAUCAUGUUACUGUUGUCAAGCACGCACAAUCGCGAGAAAACGCGUAUAUAUCUACGCGAACACGUGGUAUCCAACCCGAUGCGCAUGGUCAUAAGCAAAGGAGAUGCAAAUACGAAGUACCCGGACGAAGGACUGCGCGCACGUGGCAGGGCAUAGCUGACGUAACGGGGCUACGCGAGGGAAGCACAGCAAUAGGAAUGGGUCCACACGCGCAAAAGAUCCGACCGCCAAAGCGAAUCGCGGCGUCGAAGCGCAGCGCGCAAUCGGCAAGGACUGAGCCGGCGAGACACCCGGACAGCGCAUGCGUCGCAGAGGCCCUCAACAACGCGUUGGCCGGCUGAAAUAGCAGCUCCGAAGAGAUACCGUCAAGCAGUCCAGAUAGCCUAGUAGGUUAGGUAAUAGGACGGCAUAGCUGAGGUCGGAGGUUCGAGACCAGCUAGAUAUAAGGGAUUUUUUCCGUGCACAGGUGCACGGUCGAAUGUAUUCCUGAAGGUAGAGAAUAAUAAUCCCGAAGCUAGAGAAUGAUAUAGGAGGGCGCCGAUGGAUGGGCGAUAGGGCACAACGCAGCAGGAGGGCGGCGCGUGGGAGACGAGGGCGUUUCGCGGUAAGAUAGAGCAGAAAUUGCGCGCACUCAGCCGACAACCUUUUUUUGUAGCCCCAAAACAUCUGCACCCCGUUUUCCUACUUCCUACCCCCAAAAAAUGGAAUAGCCCCUUUUUUUGCCGCCGCUAGCUGGCGCCUCCGUCGCGCGCCGCUUCGCGCGAUCCUCUACCAGGUAAGCUACCAUCUUACCGGAAAAUGUUCUUCAGUAAAGAAUCAAAAUUAUCGGUUUUUGAA